CAACGACACAAUUACCUGGUAACUUUCAAACAGAACUCGCGUAAAUGUCAUAAGAGUGUCGCAAAUUGCCAGAAAGUCCCAGAGCGUGUUCGUCUUUCCUGGACCGGACUGUUUCUGCAUAGUCACUCUUUCUCGUACUUCUUCAGUGUUGCACAAGAGCAGCUGCUUCGGUUGAGUGUUGUUUCUUUUAGUAUUAGAGCAGCGCAAGGUACAAUACAAAUUGGAGUCAUGAAUGGAAUUUCCAAGAUAAAUAAAGUUAUGAGUUAUGCAUUUAUCAAUUGGGUUUUGCACACUUAUAGUUAGACUAUAUAGGGCAAGUUUUGAAAUCAGUUCACCGAUUGUGAAGGAGCGCAUACAAAUUGUUCACUGCUGUGUGCUAAUAUAAAUGAGAUGAUAAGACCAUUUUUAAUACCGGUUAUAAAAGUUUUAUUAUAAGUGUUUCAAAGACUUAAAAUAAACAGUUGGUAAAGCACUGAAUUUUUUAAAGGGCUAAAGAUUAGAACUGGUUAACAAAAACAAGACUUGUUAAAUAACACGAAAUAAUAUUGAACUGAAGCCGGGGCUUGUUGGUGAGCUUCUGGGGUUUGCCAGGCGGCUAGGGAGUGACGUGGAAGUAAUUAAAAACCAUCAAAUCCGCGAGCUGCAAACCUGGUGCUGUCAGAAGACAACUGAAACAAACAGUUCAAACAGACACGGCACAUUUUAACUGUUUUUUUUUUUUGUUUUUUUUUUUUAAAUAUCCGGCUAAGUAUGCCUUUUGAACACAAACAUAUAAUUAUACUUGGUUGUAUUUGUUUUAUUUUGCUCUGUAUAGGUAAUUUUGGCCUCAGAAGAUCAAAUACUGAUACAAAACAGAAAAGACAUUACAGUGACCACACUAGGAUUCAUGAACAUGGGAAACUACCUGUUAACAAAAUGAACCUAACUCGUAAAAUGAACCAAAACAAGCCUGCUGAUAGACGAAAGCACAAUCAGGUUGGUCCGACAACAGAUAUGUCUUCAGAUAAACCCUCAGAAAGAAAAAGUGUCCUUUGGAUCCAAUGAGGCUAUGAUAAUGAACUUCAAGACUGAUGAAAUGUGAUUACAUAAUUCCAUGUGAUUGUAUUAUUGCCUUGAUAUAAGACCAAUUUUAAGCAGCAUUGUGGUGUAUUAACCUUUUUUCUGAUGUUUAAAAAUAUUUUUAAAGUUUUGGAGUUUUGGGGUCCAGAAGAUGCCAAUUCACCUGUAUCUGUAUUCUCAUCAUUACUCAUGCCCUGGCAAUGGCCUUUAAUACCCAGAUUAAACCGAGGGAGCCAUCAAAUACAUGAUCACAAGCUUUUUGUUAAUUGCAGGAUAAAUAAUUAGUCUGUUAUCCUUUAAACGUGACCAUAAAUAACAUAUUUUCACCAGUCAGGUACAUAACUACUUGAGUCAUCCAUAGGCCUCUCAAAACAGAAGUAGUUUAUGUAUAUAACGUUUUUCAAAAAUACAUUUUAUGGAUAUCUAGAUCUGUAUCUAUCUCUAUUUAAAAAUGCAAAUUUGUAUCGCUCACUCUGUCCCUUUAAAUUUGGCCAAUGAAGAGCCAGAAGUAACUGUUUCAUGAGGAAACAUCAAUGAUUAUUGUUGGGACUGUUGAAGAUAUUGUGGAAACCAAGUUCAUACAGAUAAAAACAUUUUGCUAUGCUUGGCUUUCAAAAAAGUAAAACACACACACACAAAAAUGAC
This is a long non-coding RNA of Acipenser ruthenus (sterlet), 1704 nucleotides long. RefSeq lists it as uncharacterized. The transcript has 3 exons. The record is from RefSeq and is a predicted model, not a curated record. Lineage: Eukaryota; Metazoa; Chordata; Actinopteri; Acipenseriformes; Acipenseridae.